CCCUUAGAUGUUCUGGGCCGCACGCGCGCUACAAUGAUGCAACCAACGAGUGCUGCCCCUUGGCCGAGAGGCCCGGGGAACCUUGCAAACUGCAUCGUGAUGGGGAUAGAUUAUUGUAAUUAUUAAUCUUCAACGAGGAAUUCCUAGUAGGUGCAAAUCAUCAGUUUGCAUCGAUUACGUCCCUGCCCUUUGUACACACCGCCCGUCGCUGCUACCGAUUGGUUGAUCUGGUGAAUUAUUCGGACUGCCGGCUGAAGGGGUUUCCUCAUCUGCCAGCGGAAAGUCUUGUUAACCCUAUCAACUAGAGGAAGCAGAAGUCGUAACA
This 325-nucleotide ribosomal RNA is filed under the name uncultured eukaryote. Its description in RNAcentral is "partial 18S ribosomal RNA". It matches the Rfam family "Eukaryotic small subunit ribosomal RNA", at positions 1470 to 1796 of the family's 1831-position model. The record is from RNAcentral.